Molecule: long non-coding RNA, 1726 nt
Organism: Schistocerca nitens (vagrant locust)
Lineage: Eukaryota; Metazoa; Arthropoda; Insecta; Orthoptera; Acrididae
Exons: 2
Source: RefSeq, a predicted model, not a curated record
ACACACACACACACACACACACACCUUCCUUCAACAUUUGGAGGGAUAUGGAAGGGCAUAUGAGCACCAAUACUGCCAGAUAUAGAAAGGCACUAUAGUUGAAUAAGCAUCAUUUUGAUCUAUUUGGUGACUUGUAUAUAAUGAUAGAAAAGCAAGGAAUAGUGUGCCCAAAUUUUGGAAUGAUCAGGUGUGACUUGACUACACUUUCAUCUUGUCUUCUUUGUUGAAAAUGUAACUGGUUUGCUUCCAUGUGAAAUAUUCCAUUUUUUAAUUACAGUGGUGAGAUUUUACAUAAAUCAUUAAUUAAAAGUUGUCAUCUGUAUAGUUGCUUCUCACAUGAGAUGCAGUGAAGUGUUAGUCCACUUCUUGACUGUCUUAUGCAUCGAAUUUUCAUUUCAUGGUAUCUUUUGUCUGGUUCUAGACCCUAAAGAUAAGCAUUUUCUAAUCCACUGCCAAAACAACAACAGGAGCAUAGGGCAGUCUCCUAUACUACGAGGGAAAAGUAAAUUAAUAAUAUAUUUAUGAAAAUAAAAUGUUGUUUCAGAGUAAGGAUGACGGUGGAAAAUGUUCAGUGAAAGCUUAAGAUUCAGUGUCUGUUUUAUGUUCUGUUCUGCUCUGAUUCUCCUGCUUCAGGUUGUUAAGUGUGUGCAGCCUCAAGCACUGGAAUUCAGCUCUGAGGCAGGGAAGUGCACUCACCGCCAAUAUGGGACCACUUGGGUCGAGCCUUCACUGCAGCUUUCGCUUUUCUACGUGAUAUAAAUAUCUAGAAUAUUAAUUGUUUGAUACCCUGAGUCUUUCAGGCAUUGAAUAAAAUUAUUUUUGAAGCAAAUAUUUCCUCUUUUUAGUGUCAAAUAUUGCAAUUGUUAAAUAUUGUAACUUUAGACUUGGAGUGUGACUAAAUUAAUAGAUAUUGUAAAUAACUGAAUGGACAAUAUUUUGUUACAUUUUCUGAGAACUCUGUCUAUUAUGUGUUUCAUCACAAAAAUGAAAGGGAGAAGGAAACUGCUCUGUAGUUUGAGAGAAAAAUAAUCUUUAUCAUUAACAUGUUGGGAAGUUGUAAGGCCAGCAGAUCUGCACUAAAAAAAAUCAGAAGUUAAAUUUUUGUAAAGUAAAGGCUUUUUAAUAACUCUGUAGAAGUGUUCCUUAUCCCACUUUUAGUAAAGCAGUAUCUAAUGAGAAAUUGCAGAAAGAUAUCACGGUGAUUCAGUCAAGCCUCAGUAGGGCAGUCAACAGUAGAAAAUUCACACAUCUCGUGGCAAAAAAAUCUAAUUGAGAUAUAGUAUGUGUUACUGAAAUGGUUUAUUUGUAGCUGUGUCAGUUUAAAGCAGUUCAAAAACAUGUCUUACGUUGCUGGUCAUAUUAAUGAAACUGUAGCAUUACUUUCUAGUUUCAAAUCUAUUUUGUUUCUCUGCCAGGCGCACAGAUUUUAGCAUCAGAACUAAAAUUUGCUUUCCUGGCACUACCAUUGUUUUGAACCAGUUAUUUCUCUCUCAACAUGGUGAAUUUAUUCAGUAGCAGCUUCAUAUUUUCAUUUCUGCAAUACCAUACAUGUUACUUAUUGUUGUAUUUGCUAAGUUGUGAAGAGUUUUUAGAAAUUUCAGAUUGAUUGUCUGUUGUUGUGGAUACGUAGAGUUAUUCGCUGUCAUACCUGUCCAAACACUUAAAAUUUUGAUUAAUAGAAUUUUAUGUGGUACUUUGUGUUUUUAAUAAAUCUUUGUGUGUUUCA